Molecule: ribosomal RNA, 902 nt
Filed under: Pomphorhynchus tereticollis
Lineage: Eukaryota; Metazoa; Acanthocephala; Palaeacanthocephala; Echinorhynchida; Pomphorhynchidae
Description: l-rRNA
Rfam family: Bacterial large subunit ribosomal RNA (bases 610-902)
Source: RNAcentral
AAAUAAGAGUGUAGUGGGAAGAGUUACAAGUGAUUUAGGGCUUAUAAGAAACUAUAAAGCGGUUAUUUUACCUUUUGUAUAAGGGGGGCAGGAGCUUAUUGAAGAUGCAGAUUCCCCAAACCAUGAGAUAUUAGAGUCAAGCCCUGCAGAAAUGUGGGGAUUAGGGUCUAAAGUAGUGAUAUUCUAUCGAUUAUGGUAUAAGUGGGCAGAGUGUGAGGGGGUAAGCCUCUUUGGUGGUUUUAUUAUUAAACGUAGUAUGAUAAGGCUUUAAAGUGUAAUAGUGUUAUUACAAACUGAGUGGGUAUAGAAUUUGAUUACGUUAAAAUCAGUACAAUCGGGAUAAUAGUUCUGAUAUGUUAAUCUGUUUAUGAGUAAUUACAGCAUAAUGGUGGCAGUUGGUAGACGUGACAUUUCAAUUGGGUCAUUUGAUAAAUGUUUAUUAAAAACAUUUCUAUAUUUAUAUAUAGUAGCCCCUGCCCGCUGAGAGUUUGAAGGGCCGUAGUAAGUUGACUAUGCUAAGGUAGCAUAAUAAUUAGGUUGUUAAUUGCAAUCUGGAAUGAAGGGGGGAAUAUUUGAAUGAGGGUGAUUGUGGCGUGAGGAGAAAUUACUUUAAAGUGAAAAUGCUUUAAAAGGGAAAAAGACGGAAAGACCCCGGAAGCUAGGUAAUGUUUUACUUUGUUGGGGCAAUAGGUGAGAAGAUACGUCUCACUGUUUAAGUUACUCCGGGGAUAACAGGGCUAUCAACCUCACAGGUUGGUUUGCUACCUCGAUGUUGGAUCACCCAUCAAGUAGUCUGUUCGACUUUAAGAGGGUACGUGAUCUGAGUUUAGAUCGGCGUGAGCCAGAUCGGUUCUUAUCUUUUAUGGGCUUCUUGUAGUACGAAAGGGGUCAGGAGGACUAAU